CACUCAGGUGGUCGAAUGGUUAGAGCGUCAGCAUUGGACGCUGGAGGUAGCUGGUUCGAAUCCCGGCCGAGUCA
This is a non-coding RNA of Potamilus streckersoni, 74 nucleotides long. NCBI's taxonomy places the organism in Eukaryota, Metazoa, Mollusca, Bivalvia, Unionida, Unionidae. The record is from the annotation of a GenBank genome assembly.